Molecule: long non-coding RNA, 754 nt
Filed under: Anas platyrhynchos platyrhynchos (common mallard)
Lineage: Eukaryota; Metazoa; Chordata; Aves; Anseriformes; Anatidae
Description: lncRNA (ENSAPLG00000030058.1)
Source: RNAcentral
GACCCCCCCCAGACCGGUGGGAGGCCCCCCCGGUGUCCCACAGGGGGCCUGGGGGGUUUUCCAGUAUGUCCCAGUAAGAACCAGUAUGGCCUAAUGGGAGCUGGGUGGCUCCCAGUAUGCUCAAAUGCUUCCUUCCCUAUAGAGUAACAUGUCCCAGUACAUCCCAGUAUGUCCCAGUAUGUCCUAAUGGCCCCACCAGUAUGUCCCAGUAUCCCCCAAUGCCCCCUUGCUAUCUCCCAGUACAUCCCAGUAUGCCCCAGUACCCCUCUACAACCCUCCCAGUCCCUCCCAGUACAACCCAGUACCUCCCACUGCACCCCCAGCAGCCCCCCAGCGCCCCCAAAUCCCCUUUUCCCCCCACUGCAGCGCUCCCAGUGCCCACCCAGUUCCUCCCAGUGCCCUCCCAGUUUACCCCAGUCCCUCCCAGCGCCCUCCCAGCGCCCUCCCAGUCCCUCCCAGUGCUCCCAGUACCGGCCAGACGCUGGGACUGGGGGUGCCCAGGGCGCGCAGCACGCAGCAGAGCUGCUCGAUGUCGUUCUCCCCCGGGAACAGGGGCGAAAGGUUCAGCAGCUCCCCAAAAAUGCAGCCCACGGCCCUGGGGGGGGGGGGCAGAAAUUUAUUUUUUUUAGGAGGGGUCAAAAAUUUUGGGGGAAAAAGGGGAAAUUUUGGGCAAAAAGGGAAAGGGGAAAAGGGAAGGGAAAAUUGAGGAGGAAAAUUAGGGGGAGGGAAAUGUUAAGAUAAAAAUCUGGAGGGG